Molecule: ribosomal RNA, 32 nt
Filed under: Erysiphe neolycopersici
Lineage: Eukaryota; Fungi; Ascomycota; Leotiomycetes; Helotiales; Erysiphaceae
Description: Oidium neolycopersici partial 18S ribosomal RNA
Source: RNAcentral
UAAUGAUUCCUCUUCCCGUAGGGUAACCUGCG